UACGUAGGGACCAAGCGUUGUUCGGAUUUACUGGGCGUAAAGGGCGCGUAGGCGGCAAUUCAAGUCAGCUGUGAAAUCUCCGGGCUUAACUCGGAACGGUCAGCUGAUACUGUGCGGCUAGAGUGCGGAAGGGGCAACUGGAAUUCUUGGUGUAGCGGUGAAAUGCGUAGAUAUCAAGAGGAACACCUGCGGCGAAGGCGGGUUGCUGGGCUGAUACUGACGCUGAGGCGCGAAAGCCAGGGGAGCGAACGGG
Molecule: ribosomal RNA, 253 nt
Filed under: uncultured bacterium
Lineage: Bacteria
Description: partial 16S ribosomal RNA
Rfam family: Bacterial small subunit ribosomal RNA
Source: RNAcentral